This 649-nucleotide ribosomal RNA is filed under the name uncultured bacterium. RNAcentral's name for it is "bacterial SSU rRNA". It matches the Rfam family "Bacterial small subunit ribosomal RNA", at positions 8 to 638 of the family's 1533-position model. The record is from RNAcentral.
AGAGUUUGAUCCUGGCUCAGGACGAACGCUGGCGGCGUGCUUAACACAUGCAAGUCGUACGAGCUUUGGAGGGCUUGCUCUUCAAGGUUAGUGGCGGACGGGUGCGUAACACGUGAGCAACUUGUCCUACGGUGGGGGAUAGCCGGCCCAACGGCCGGGUAAUACCGCGUAUUGGAUCGGCAUCGCAUGGUGCUGAUGUGAAAGCGGCCGCAAGGUCGCGCCGGAGGAGGGGCUCGCGGCGUAUCAGCUUGUUGGUGGGGUAACGGCCUACCAAGGCUACGACGCGUAGCUGGUCUGAGAGGAUGAUCAGCCACAUUGGGACUGAGAUACGGCCCAGACUCCUACGGGAGGCAGCAGUGGGGAAUAUUGCGCAAUGGCCGCAAGGCUGACGCAGCGACGCCGUGUGUAGGAUGAAGGCCCUCGGGUUGUAAACCACUGUCAGGAGGGACGAAUACUCGGCUUCAAAUAGUUGACCGAGGGUGACGGUACCUCCAGAGGAAGCACCGGCUAACUCCGUGCCAGCAGCCGCGGUAACACGGAGGGUGCGAGCGUUGUCCGGAUUCACUGGGCGUAAAGCGCGCGUAAGCGGUUUUGUAAGUCACCUGUGAAAUCCCGGGGCUCAACUCCCGGGCUGCCGGUGAUACUGCAG